This 305-nucleotide ribosomal RNA is filed under the name uncultured bacterium. RNAcentral describes it as "bacterial SSU rRNA". It matches the Rfam family "Bacterial small subunit ribosomal RNA", at positions 334 to 655 of the family's 1533-position model. The record is from RNAcentral.
CACUACCUACGGGGGGCAGCAGUGGGGAAUAUUGCACAAUGGGGGGAACCCUGAUGCAGCGACGCCGCGUGAGUGAAGAAGUAUUUCGGUAUGUAAAGCUCUAUCAGCAGGGAAGAAGAUGACGGUACCUGAGUAAGAAGCCCCGGCUAACUACGUGCCAGCAGCCGCAGUAAUACGUAGGGGGCAAGCGUUAUCCGGAUUUACUGGGUGUAAAGGGAGCGUAGACGGCAUAGCAAGUCUGAAGUGAAAGCCCAAGGCUCAACCAUGGGACUGCUUUGGAAACUGUUAAGCUAGAGUGCUGGAGG